CUCCAGAUAAGGCUUUGAGGUGUUCUGUGGAGACCUGCAUUUUUGCUUUUGGCCUGGAUUCUUGUCCUCUAGGAGUCGCUCUUGUGGGCCUUUUGCGGUUAAACAGGUCUAAGGAGUUCCUGGGACUCCCACAGGGAAAGGAAUCCUCAACAAAGG
This is a long non-coding RNA of Phodopus roborovskii (desert hamster), 156 nucleotides long. RefSeq lists it as uncharacterized. The transcript is spliced from 2 exons. Lineage: Eukaryota; Metazoa; Chordata; Mammalia; Rodentia; Cricetidae. The record is from RefSeq and is a predicted model, not a curated record.